UUCCCAUUAGUGUACCCCAAAACUGUCCUCGUACAUAUCAUCUGGUGGCCUAUGACCCAGAUGGUGAUCAGGUCAGAUGUAGAUAUGGAGCUCAGCAGCAUGUCGAAUGUGCCACAUGUGACCAGCCAAGUGGUUUCCACCUAGAUCAACGUGCCUGCACACUAGACUACAACUAUGCCUCCACAACAGGCGUCUACGGAUUUGAGCUAAUUGUGGAGGACUUCCCAAGGAAACACACCACUCUGGCCUAUACUGAUGGCUCCAGCUCUUACAGAUGCUCUCUGAGUGGUGGAAGACACCAAAGGUCAAUCAACAUGACACCGUACCCAUGGUAUUACCAAAGUACCACAACUGUUCCAUGGUGGCAACAAACUACAUCUGCUUCACCGUGGUGGUGGUGGUGGCAACAGCAACAAUCGACCACCAUUCCACCUACAACUACACCGUGGUGGUGGUGGCAACAACAGCAACAAUCGACCACCACUCCACCUACAACUACACCAUGGUGGUGGUGGCAACAUCAACAGACAACCACUGCUCCACCUACAACGGCCCAGUGGUGGUGGUGGCUGCAGACCACGACCACAACCACAACAACACAGCCACCUCAAGAGUACACAACUUCCAUGGCUUCACAUCAGCGUUCUUAUGAACCUUUCAGCAAGCUCCCUCUGCAAUUCAGUGUUCUCGUUGAUUCAGCUGCUCCUUCCUGCACCGAGGGACAUUACCUACCUCACUUUGUGUCGCCAACUCCACGCAAUGGAGAUGAAAUCCAAGCUACGCCACACCACGAAGUGGAAAUCCGGGUUAAG
This 812-nucleotide long non-coding RNA is filed under the name Sinocyclocheilus anshuiensis. Its description in RNAcentral is "lncRNA (ENSSANG00000005219.1)". Lineage: Eukaryota; Metazoa; Chordata; Actinopteri; Cypriniformes; Cyprinidae. The record is from RNAcentral.